GAUCAACAUGGAGUUACCACAACAUUACAACAUUUGUUACAAAAAUAACUUACAUCAGAGUGCGGAAGAUUUAUAACUUAAUUUACAACAUAUGAUGAAAUACAAACUUAACUAAAUUUCCAAAAGGUGUAUAGAGUAGCGGAAGCAUCUUAGGUGAAGCUUCUAAGGUAGAAGAGGUGGAUAAAUCAUGUCGCGCCCACCGACAUGACCUCCAUUAGCAGACUAAGUCAGCACCUGCAACAGGGGUUAUAAAACCCUGAGUACAAAAGUACUCAACAAGACUUAACCGACUAAAAAAAAGAGGUGAAGACUCAGGUAUGCAGGCUAUAGGGAUUCAAGGUAAAGCUUUAUCAAGAUAAAGCAUUUCUUUUGCAUAAAAGCUUACUAAGAUUAAACCUACUUUCAAGUUUUUAACUCAAGGUUAUCAUUUAUGACUAACCAAAACUAUUAUCAAACUUGCAUAAGCAUACCACAUCUUUCUUAUACCAAAGAUUCACUUGUUACUACGAUGAUGGUGUGAGGAUUGAGGCUCCAUAUCCGAGGAAACACGGCGAUUCGAAUCGAUUAAACCCAGCUGGGGAUUCAGUACCACACGACAUAUGUAGAACUUAAUCUUGCAUAUGUCAACCUUUUCUAUAGAUCCUCCCAUACAAGAACGGGUCCAGCGUCACCCGAGAGUACAGUACACCACCAUCCUACAGCCAAUCUAGAUGUUUCCCGGUCAUCUCAGAUCCGUAAGGUGGGUACACGCUACUCUCGCCAUCUUUCCACUCCCAGUACGCGGUUAGCCGUUCUCAAGUAUCGGAAUAGCUAUAGGUAAGGCUUACCGCCGCAUGUGGGCUGUACUCAAAGGUCUCAAUCACAACAGGCCAAUCAACGGUACGGUCCUUAAUCGACUCAGUUGGAGACACUACUUUAAGACUCCAUUCUUAAAGCAAGUCCACCGACCGGUCUCAAAUUGAACAUCAUUAACUGUAAGAGUAUUCCACAACGACCCUUCAAACGUUCUCAUUUGAAAACUUAUCUAAUAAGCAGGGCUAAGCAUACUAAGCAUUUUCAUAAAGCAGGUAUCAAGGUUAAUAUGGAAAUCAUCAAGGUAGAUAAUGCAGCAAAUAGGAUUCACUCAACUCCUAUUCACCUAAUGCAUCAUAUUAACUCAAGUGAUAUAAAUAACUUUAUGAAAAUACAAGGAUAGGGUUUAAUGUCCGGGGCUUGCCUUGACCGGAAGGGAAAUUCGGCAACUCAGCAAAACCCGAAGGAUCCACAAACUCGGAAGCAACCCACUGAGGAUCAGAUUCCUCCGGAGCGUAUUCUAUACGUAAAAGUGCAUAUGCAUGAUCAAUGAGAUGCUCAUGACAUGAUAAAGACAGGUUACAUGUUCUUGGAUGAUAACAACAAACAUAACUACCUCGAGUACAACUUACCUUCACGGUAUAGAAACAAACUAACUUAGUUAUCAAAACAUAGAUUACUACUAAGCAAAUUUUAUCAUCUUCAUUAAGCAAGGUUGUGUAGCUAUCAUACAACAAAGAUCAUUUAUAUGAAAUAAACCAUAACCAGGGAGCAUAUCAUGCCAAGUAACCACUGGUUGUCAAUCAAUCCCAAAGAUCAAUCAAAACCUAAAAUGAUUAGGUUUUCUAUUUAUCUUAAUCAAUUCUUAAUUAAAUAUUAAUGGCAGUAACUAAGUAUUAACAUCAAACAAUAAUUAAGUGCCAAAGGUCAUAAAAGAUAAUGACCUCAGGUCAUCACACAAUCCCAAAAGCACUCAAAUUCUAAUUUGGAAAUUAAGUUACUCAUUAUUUAAGUAAAGGCUAGCUAAAAACAAUCAACCCUAUUUGCACACAUAACCAGGACAGCAGCAUAUACACAACUUCAUUCAACCAUAAUUAGAGAUCCAAGCAUCCAACAAAGGUGAUAUUAGGCUUUCUGGAAAGCUUAUAUAAUUUUCUACAACUUUGUUAUUAUCUUCGAGAACUGAUUUAAUAGAUAACAUGGCCAAACAGUAUGAAUAAACAAUUCUGUCCAGACCUUGGACAGAAUCAGACAUUAAGCUUCAUACAUCUAUAACCAGAGUUCUAGAUCACCAAAAUUCAUGAUCCAUAACAUUUUGGAAAUCUUAUGAAAAUUACUACAAUUCAUCUUUUAUCAUGAAAGCAUGAUUCAUAAGUUUAGUAGGUUGAAAUUGCACAACUACAGAAACUGAUCCAGAAUUUGACAGAGAGGAACCAUUUCUGAAACUUAAAUUUAAACAGGCAUAACUCAGAAACUAUAGGGCCAAAUGCCACCAAAAUUUAACACCAGCUAGAUACAUGAAUUCUAUACAACUUUGUUAUAGACAAGUUUCAUAUCCAACAUUAUUUACCUAGAGCAAUUCAUAAGGUUCCAGAAACUGUCCAGAAAUCACUAAUAAUUUAAUUAUAGGCAAAUAACAUUUUAUUUAUAUUUCAAACUUGGACCUGGGCAAAACCCAGCUCACAAAUAGUUGAAAUACAUCAAAGAGAUACUAGAAAACAUCAUGGUCAUCCCUAAAUAAAUUCCUUUCAUGUUUUUAUUAAUUUAUUUAGGUAAAUAGACAAAGCAAUAACCAUAUAUCAAAAGUACACAGUAAAUUCUGAGAAAACUACAGAAGCUCAUAUAUGUUCUCCAAAGUCUACUGUAUAAAUUUCAUGCCAUUUGAAUAAGUAUAGCAAUUUCCAUGAAAAAGAUAAAUUUCCAUCACAAGGAAGCAUGUAACAACAAGAUAAAUAAGAAACUCAACAUUUUCUACAAACACAUAGCUAAAUUAUGUAUCUAUAUGAUAUAACAACCUCAUAUAAAGGCAGAGGAACUGUAUUUUACAUUUAUUUAUUUUUAGUUUAAUUGUAAACUAUUUAAUAAGCACUAAACAAGAUAAAUUAAUAACUUAACCAUAUAUCAUCUACUGAACAUGAAAUUUUUACUGUAACACUCACAUAGCAUCAUAAAAACACCAUAAAAAUUUCAGGCCCAAAGGAGCUACACAGGAUUAGAUAUGAAUUUCUCCUUUUUAAACAUAAUUAAAAGGCAUAAAUCAUAACUAAUUAUUUUACUACAAAACAUGGUCAGUUUCAUAUUUUUAAUAAACACUAGACAUCUCAAGGAGCACAACAAAAUUUGGUUCACCAAAAUUGGAGCUACCAAACUCUAGAUAUGAAUUUUCAAACAUUCAACAAAACCUCUACAAACAAGUCCUUAUAGCACUAUUCACCUGAGUCACAGUCUCUGCAAUUAGACCCCUGGGAAACAUCAAAUUGUCGCCCGAAGUCCCUGGCCGCGACUGAAAACAGAGGAACUCGCCGGAGAUCGUGGUUUCGGCGCUGGAGUGCUCGUCGGCGGCAUUGGAGCAGCGGGGAAGCUCGCCCGGACUAGUGCGCACCUGAUGGUGGCCGUAGCUUGUCCUGCAAUGGCUCGAGGUGGCCUGUCCACGUUGAGGUGCUCCUCGGCGGCGUUUUCAGCCGGAGCUGAGGAAGAAAGACGGCGCCCGGGCGAUUGAGAGGGGCAGGGAGGGUUCCUGGGCGUACACGGGGUUCGCAAGGAUAUGGCGAAGGUGUUGGAGAACUCGAAUUGGCCAGAGGGGUUGCGUGUAGAGGGUAUUGGACGGUGGAGCUUCACUGGGUGCUUUCGGUCGUCGGAGUAAGUGAGCUCGAGGUCGGCCGCGCAGGCGCUCAAGAGGUCGAGACGCAGAGGUCACGGGCGUCCACGUCGCGCGGUGACGCGGCCGGCAAGCAGCUGCGUGGCGGCGAGAACGCACGCGCGGCGCUGCACGGCCUGCGGCCGCGCGGUGACUGGACUCGUGAUCCAUAUCCGGAUACUGUAGCAAGCUUUAUCCAACCAGUUUUGUGGUUUUGCAAAAUUCGCCCAAAU
RNAcentral lists this long non-coding RNA (3882 nucleotides) under Sorghum bicolor (sorghum). Its description in RNAcentral is "long non-coding RNA (SBIC_LNC018378)". Lineage: Eukaryota; Viridiplantae; Streptophyta; Magnoliopsida; Poales; Poaceae. The record is from RNAcentral.